AACGGUAGCUAAUACCGCAUAACGUCGCAAGACCAAAGAGGGGGACCUUCGGGCCUCUUGCCAUCGGAUGUGCCCAGAUGGGAUUAGCUAGUAGGUGGGGUAACGGCUCACCUAGGCGACGAUCCCUAGCUGGUCUGAGAGGAUGACCAGCCACACUGGAACUGAGACACGGUCCAGACUCCUACGGGAGGCAGCAGUGGGGAAUAUUGCACAAUGGGCGCAAGCCUGAUGCAGCCAUGCCGCGUGUAUGAAGAAGGCCUUCGGGUUGUAAAGUACUUUCAGCGGGGAGGAAGGGAGUAAAGUUAAUAC
Molecule: ribosomal RNA, 309 nt
Filed under: Escherichia coli
Lineage: Bacteria; Pseudomonadati; Pseudomonadota; Gammaproteobacteria; Enterobacterales; Enterobacteriaceae
Description: bacterial SSU rRNA
Rfam family: Bacterial small subunit ribosomal RNA
Source: RNAcentral